This 253-nucleotide ribosomal RNA is filed under the name uncultured bacterium. RNAcentral describes it as "partial 16S ribosomal RNA". It matches the Rfam family "Bacterial small subunit ribosomal RNA", at positions 524 to 776 of the family's 1533-position model. The record is from RNAcentral. RNAcentral also lists the same sequence under 1 other name.
GACGAACCGUGCGAACGUUGUUCGGAAUCACUGGGCUUAAAGGGCGCGUAGGCGGGCUGCCAAGUCCGUGGUGAAAUCCCCCGGCUCAACCGGGGAAUGGCCUCGGAUACUGGCGGUCUUGAGGGAGGUAGGGGCGUGCGGAACUGUAGGUGGAGCGGUGAAAUGCGUUGAUAUCUACAGGAACUCCGGUGGCGAAGGCGGCACGCUGGACCUCUUCUGACGCUGAGGCGCGAAAGCCAGGGGAGCGAACGGG